AGUCUGAUUUACAGUGUCCUGGGACAGUGUCUCCAUUCACUCACAGGGUCACCUGGACCGUGCCUUGCAGACACAUCCACAGUGUUACAGAGAUACACACGGAGUCCCAAACAGAUAGAGAACAGAGUGUCUGCAGGACAGCAGCAGCAGACAGUGGCACAGACACAGAUAAUUGCAGGAAAUCAUUGGUUGGUGUGAAGUGGGAGGUUGGAGAGGCAGCCUCUGUCCCCGACCUGACCAGAGCAUCUUCUGGCAGAUCCUACCCGCCUGUCCCUCACUCUUCUCUGUCUCCUUCUGGGGCUGAUGAGCCACCCCCUCCAGAAUCCUCAGCCAGGACUCCCGCCAGCUGUCCUGGCACUGCUCUGGAUGUAGCAGGGAACACCGGGAGCAGGACGGUUCUGGGUCAAAUCUCGACUUUGGCAAUUAUUCACUGUGCUACUGCAGACACAUCAUUUAACCUCCCUCAGCCUCAGCUAAAAAAAACAGACUAGAACUUAUGAUCUGCAUCACAGGCUGCUUACAAGACAAAACAGACCAGGUGCCAUGGCUUACUCCUAUAAUCCCAGCACUUUGGGAGGCCAAGUCAGGAGGAUCACUUGAAGCCAGGAGUUCAAGACCAGCCUGGGCAACAUAGUGAGACCCUGCCUCUACAAAACAAUAAAAAAUACAAAAUUA
Molecule: long non-coding RNA, 675 nt
Organism: Pan troglodytes (chimpanzee)
Lineage: Eukaryota; Metazoa; Chordata; Mammalia; Primates; Hominidae
Exons: 2
Source: RefSeq, a predicted model, not a curated record